RNAcentral lists this ribosomal RNA (497 nucleotides) under uncultured bacterium. Its description in RNAcentral is "partial 16S ribosomal RNA". It matches the Rfam family "Bacterial small subunit ribosomal RNA", at positions 28 to 507 of the family's 1533-position model. The record is from RNAcentral.
GAUGAACGCUGGCGGCGUGCCUAAUACAUGCAAGUCGAGCGAACGGACGAGAAGCUUGCUUCUCUGAUGUUAGCGGCGGACGGGUGAGUAACACGUGGAUAACCUACCUAUAAGACUGGGAUAACUUCGGGAAACCGGAGCUAAUACCGGAUAAUAUUCUGAACCGCAUGGUUCAAAAGUGAAAGACGGUCUUUCUGUCACUUAUAGAUGGAUCCGCGCUGCAUUAGCUAGUUGGUAAGGUAACGGCUUACCAAGGCAACGAUGCAUAGCCGACCUGAGAGAGUGAUAGGCCACACUAGAACUGAGACGCGGUCCAGACUCCUACGGGAGGCAGCAGUAGGGAAUCUUCCGCAAUGGGCGAAAGCCUGACGGAGCAACGCCGCGUGAGUGAUGAAGGUCUUCGGAUCGUAAAACUCUGUUAUUAGGGAAGAACAUAUGUGUAAGUAACUGUGCACAUCUUGACGGUACCUAAUCAGAAAGCCACGGCUAACUACGUG